GGCACCUCCGCUCCCCAUUGGCCCACAGGGGGCACUUAUUUGCAUAGGCAUACCGAACUUGCUGCUGUCAUUUCGCGUCAGACGGCGACUCCAAGAGGGGAGGAGCCGACGCCUCUUAAAGGAACAGGAGAGGAGGCGACGACACUUUCCCACCAGUCUGGCUCCCUGGCCCUCAUUCAUCAUCCUCUCUACUGGAGGGGCUUUGGCGCAAGUACACCUGGAAGAGACCGGGGAAGACAGUCGGCCUUCCCUGCCCUAAUGCGGGCAGGGAGGCGGGACUGAAAUCAGUGAAGACUUCCAGCUGCGAGCUGGGCUGGGGGAGGGGGUUGCCCCGGGGAUAAGGCCCACCCCCAAGCCUGUGCACAGGCCUGGGAAAAAGUUUAGCCCGGCAGAAAAUUUAUGCAAGCGAGCAAGCGAGCAAGCGCGCUCACGCGCGCCCUUGUCUAGGAAACCGAGGAAAGCCCGUGGGAGGGAAAACACGAAAAAAAGUUUAGAACUAGGGUGCGGCAAAUUCCAGGUUCAGGUUCUGGUCUGGGUCUUGGUUUUAGCUUCAAGGUGGUGAAAAUAGCUGGGGCUUUGCUGUUAGAGAAAUUAUUAAAAUCUGGAAUCUGCUUCUUCCUAGUCUUGUGGCUGGAAACGAGUGUUUGGCCUCUCCAAACUCGGUAUUUCCUCAUCCUUGGUACCCAUUCCAUGAGGUUCUUAACGCAGAUUUAAAUGAGAUAAAGACUAAAGCACAAAAUUAAGUGGUCAGUGAAUGGUUAACAGGAGCUACCUGGGGUAAUCACUUCAUCCCUGGGAGAAACAUCGGUUGUAUUUAAGGGAUUGGGAAAGAGUGGUGAUGCCUGCCUUAAAAGUUUUUGUGAAGAUUAAAUAAAGCAGCUGGUUGCGGCCCAUCAGUGACAGUGAUAGUGACAUCAAUUAGUGUACUGCAACCAGCAUUUAAAAUAAUAAAUGGGUAAUAAAUAAUGGGUAUCACAAAAAUACUUAAUGGGUAUCACAAAAUGCAAGGAAAGAUACUGUUAAACAAAAUUUUUGUGUGCAAAAUUUUCAUGUUGAACUAUAUAAAAUUGCCAUUUUAUAGGUCGAGUGUGGAAUAUUGUCCAUUUCAUAUGAUCCAAUGUGUGUGCUACUAGAUGAACAUAUCAGCUGCAUUUCUUACUGAGUCACAAUCCAAAGGCUUUGAGAAAUACUAAAGUGUGUUCAAGUGAUUUUUAAGAUACAGCAUGUGUGUGUGUGUGUGUGUGUGUGUGUAUACACACACACACACACACACAUAAAGCUAUAUACACACAUGUAUAAAAACAUGGGCUUAUUCACCAAACUCUUAAAAUACAGGAAUUAAGAGACCUCCUCUUCCCCAUUUCCCAAUAGUUUCAAAGCAUUUUUUCUUUUCCUAAUUCACUCUAUACAACAGGUAGUUAAACAUAUGGAACGUAUUAGUUCAAGAGGAAGAACAGGUCAAAUAGAUAAAUAGUUUCCAGAAGGGCUUUAGGGGCCACAAAUGGUGCUUAGGACUGAUUUGUCUGAGCAGCAUGGUCCUACCACAGCAGCCUGGGGGUUUCAUUCCCACCUGGCUUCUAAAUACUUUUCUAUUUAAGAUCCCUAAUUUAGACACAUGCAGGGUUGACAACCCUCAGCAGUGGCACUGCUCAGGAAAAUUGCUGUGUGCCACAUCCACAAGGUAGGGUGCCCAGGAUGAGCACAAUUUUCAGCUUCCCUUCAAAUAGGCUGCACUCUCUCUGAUUUCACCCAGUCCUUGGGCCAUUGCAUACCAGCAUUAGUGCCACAGCUCCUUGGCCUGCUUGGGAAGGCUUCAUCGUCACAGGCCUUUCAGUCACCACAGGGCAGUGGGAGACUUACAUCCACACUAUAUUGGAUUACUGCUGGUUCAGGAGCCAACAUCAUUGAUGUGGAUAAAGUAAAAAUAAAAAACAGGCUCAUAGAUGUGUUUUGUUUGGACCAUAUAAUAUUUUUAAAUCAGAUUUACCUAAAAACCUGAAUUCAGAUUCUCUCAAAAAAUUGGAAUUUUUAUCAACUCCAGGUCUGUGCGCCCAUAAGAGCACUAUAGCCUGGAACGGAGUUGAGUGAUAGCCACAGAGCAGGUAUGUGCUCUCAAGUUCACUGCAGACUCCAUACAGCCCACUGAGCUCAGAUAAGUCCCCUGCCUGGCCUCUCUGGAAUGUGAGUUUGGUGCUUCUCCGAUAAGACCUAAAUCACCAUAGCCCCUGGAAUAUGGGAGCUCAUGUCCACCCCAGACUAUGAAGGACCUCCAGAAGGACAUCAGAAUUCCAGAUGCCCUCAUACCACACCAUUCCCACCCAACCUUUCUUUCUCCUGGUUUUUAUCACCCUAAUAUUAAUCAGAACAAAGCUUAAGGAUUACUUUUUUAAAUUACUAUUACCAAAAAAUAAAUAAAAAUUACUAACACUCUAAAACUGUUUUCAUUUGGAAUUAACCUUUACACAGGGAUUCUUAACUUCAUGUAGUAGAAAAGAGGUCUCAGUUGUGAUGGCAGCAUUAGAGGGAAUGAAAAGGAAGAGGUCUUGAGUCUGUGUAUCCAGGAAAAGUCUGGAAACCCCUGUUCCAAACACUAAUAGUGCUAACCACUGGAUAGUAAGGUUGGGGACUAGAAGAGUAUAUUCUUGCUUUAUGAGUCUGUACCCUUUGACUUCUUCCAUGAUCGGUAUUACUUUUAUAUACAUUUUUUUCUCUUAAAAUUAAGCAAAAAUGGAAAUAGGACAGAGAGAGAACAAAUGGAUCUUGGUGACAGGCGGCACAGGGAGGGGGUUAACACAGAGAAGAGGACUCAUGAUGGACUGAGAUUUUGAGAGAGCAUGCUCCAGGCCAGCAGAGGAGCCCCAAACCAGACCCACAGUCUGAAGCCAAGCCCAGAUGGAUUCAAAUAGGUCCAGCCAAGAUCAGCCAAACUUCAUCAACCUGCAGAUCCAUGACAACUAGAAUGGCUGUAUCUGUGUACUUGCUAAUACCAGCCCUUCGAGGUGAGGCAGGCUGAGCCGGCCCCAGGACCCUGAGCAAACCUCCACCUGGAGACAUCUGGAAUCAUCCUUUGGAAACACAGU
This is a long non-coding RNA of Manis pentadactyla (Chinese pangolin), 3080 nucleotides long. RefSeq lists it as uncharacterized. Lineage: Eukaryota; Metazoa; Chordata; Mammalia; Pholidota; Manidae. The record is from RefSeq and is a predicted model, not a curated record. The transcript is spliced from 4 exons.